Molecule: ribosomal RNA, 496 nt
Filed under: uncultured bacterium
Lineage: Bacteria
Description: partial 16S ribosomal RNA
Rfam family: Bacterial small subunit ribosomal RNA
Source: RNAcentral
GAUGAACGCUGGCGGCGUGCCUGACACAUGCAAGUCGAACGAAGCACUUUUAGCCGAUCCCUUCGGGGUGAAGCUGAUUGUGACUUAGUGGCGGACGGGUGAGUAACGCGUGGGUAACCUGCCCUAUACAAGGGGAUAACAGUUAGAAAUGACUGCUAAUACCGUAUAAGCAUACAGUAUCGCAUGAUACCGUGUGAAAAACUCUGGUGGUAUAGGAUGGGCCCGCGUCUGAUUAGCUAGUUGGUAGGGUAAAGGCCUACCAAGGCAACGAUCAGUAGCCGGCUUGAGAGAGUGAACGGCCACAUUGGGACUGAGACACGGCCCAAACUCCUACGGGAGGCAGCAGUGGGGAAUAUUGCACAAUGGGGGAAACCCUGAUGCAGCAACGCCGCGUGAGUGAAGAAGUAUUUCGGUAUGUAAGCUCUAUCAGCAGGGAAGAAAAUGACGGUACCUGACUAAGAAGCCCCGGCUAACUACGUGCCAGCAGCCGCGGUAA